RNAcentral lists this ribosomal RNA (253 nucleotides) under uncultured bacterium. Its description in RNAcentral is "partial 16S ribosomal RNA". It matches the Rfam family "Bacterial small subunit ribosomal RNA", at positions 524 to 776 of the family's 1533-position model. The record is from RNAcentral.
UACGGAGGGUGCAAGCAUUAAUCGGAUUUAUUGGGCGUAAAGAGCGCGUAGGCGGGAGCGCAAGUCAGACGUGAAAGCUCGGAGCUUAACUCCGAAAUUGCAUCUGAAACUGCGUUUCUUGAGGAUGGUCGGAGAAAGGAGAAUUCCACAUGUAGCGGUGAAAUGCGUAGAUAUGUGGAGGAAUACCCGUGGCGAAGGCGCCUUUCUAGAUUAUUCCUGACGCUAAGGCGCGAAAGCAAGGGGAGCGAACAGG